This 429-nucleotide ribosomal RNA is filed under the name bacterium. RNAcentral describes it as "partial 16S ribosomal RNA". It matches the Rfam family "Bacterial small subunit ribosomal RNA", at positions 355 to 776 of the family's 1533-position model. The record is from RNAcentral.
UAGGGAAUCUUCGGCAAUGGGGGCAACCCUGACCGAGCAACGCCGCGUGAGUGAAGAAGGUUUUCGGAUCGUAAAGCCCUGUUGUAAGAGAAGAACGUGUGUGAGAGUGGAAAGUUCACACAGUGACGGUAACUUACCAGAAAGGGACGGCUAACUACGUGCCAGCAGCCGCGGUAAUACGUAGGUCCCGAGCGUUGUCCGGAUUUAUUGGGCGUAAAGCGAGCGCAGGCGGUUUAAUAAGUCUGAAGUUAAAGGCAGUGGCUUAACCAUUGUUCGCUUUGGAAACUGUUAAACUUGAGUGCAGAAGGGGAGAGUGGAAUUCCAUGUGUAGCGGUGAAAUGCGUAGAUAUAUGGAGGAACACCGGUGGCGAAAGCGGCUCUCUGGUCUGUAACUGACGCUGAGGCUCGAAAGCGUGGGGAGCAAACAGG